RNAcentral lists this ribosomal RNA (912 nucleotides) under uncultured bacterium. RNAcentral describes it as "bacterial SSU rRNA". It matches the Rfam family "Bacterial small subunit ribosomal RNA", at positions 8 to 916 of the family's 1533-position model. The record is from RNAcentral.
AGAGUUUGAUCAUGGCUCAGAUUGAACGCUGGCGGCAGGCUCAACACAUGCAGGUCGAGCGGAGAUGAGGUGCUUGCACCUUAUCUUAGCGGCGGACGGGUGAGUAAUGCUUAGGAAUCUGCCUAUUAGUGGGGGACAACAUUCCGAAAGGAAUGCUAAUACCGCAUACGUCCUACGGGAGAAAGCAGGGGAUCUUCGGACCUUGCGCUAAUAGAUGAGCCUAAGUCGGAUUAGCUAGUUGGUGGGGUAAAGGCCUACCAAGGCGACGAUCUGUAGCGGGUCUGAGAGGAUGAUCCGCCACACUGGGACUGAGACACGGCCCAGACUCCUACGGGAGGCAGCAGUGGGGAAUAUUGGACAAUGGGGGGAACCCUGAUCCAGCCAUGCCGCGUGUGUGAAGAAGGCCUUAUGGUUGUAAAGCACUUUAAGCGAGGAGGAGGCUACUGAGACUAAUACUCUUGGAUAGUGGACGUUACUCGCAGAAUAAGCACCGGCUAACUCUGUGCCAGCAGCCGCGGUAAUACAGAGGGUGCGAGCGUUAAUCGGAUUUACUGGGCGUAAAGCGUGCGUAGGCGGCUUUUUAAGUCGGAUGUGAAAUCCCCGAGCUUAACUUGGGAAUUGCAUUCGAUACUGGGAAGCUAGAGUAUGGGAGAGGAUGGUAGAAUUCCAGGUAUAGCGGUGAAAUGCGUAGAGAUCUGGAGGAAUACCGAUGGCGAAAGCAGCCAUCUGGCCUAAUACUGACGCUGAGGUACGAAAGCAUGGGGAGCAAACAGGAUUAGAUACCCUGGUAGUCCAUGCCGUAAACGAUGUCUACUAGCCGUUGGGGCCUUUGAGCUUUAGUGGCGCAGCUAACGCGAUAAGUAGACCGCCUGGGGAGUACGGUCGCAGACUAAAACUCAAAUGAAUUGACGG